GAUGAACGCUGGCGGCGUGCCUAAUACAUGCAAGUCGAGCGGACAGACGAGGAGCUUGCUCCUCUGACGUUAGCGGCGGACGGGUGAGUAACACGUGGAUAACCUACCUAUAAGACUGGUAUAACUUCGGGAAACCGGAGCUAAUACCGGAUAAUAUAUUGAACCGCAUGGUUCAAUAGUGAAAGACGGUUUUGCUGUCACUUAUAGAUGGAUCCGCGCCGCAUUAGCUAGUUGGUAAGGUAACGGCUUACCAAGGCGACGAUGCGUAGCCGACCUGAGAGGGUGAUCGGCCACACUGGAACUGAGACACGGUCCAGACUCCUACGGGAGGCAGCAGUAGGGAAUCUUCCGCAAUGGGCGAAAGCCUGACGGAGCAACGCCGCGUGAGUGAUGAAGGUCUUCGGAUCGUAAAACUCUGUUAUUAGGGAAGAACAAAUGUGUAAGUAACUAUGCACGUCUUGACGGUACCUAAUCAGAAAGCCACGGCUAACUACGUG
Molecule: ribosomal RNA, 497 nt
Filed under: uncultured bacterium
Lineage: Bacteria
Description: partial 16S ribosomal RNA
Rfam family: Bacterial small subunit ribosomal RNA
Source: RNAcentral